Molecule: long non-coding RNA, 424 nt
Organism: Peromyscus californicus insignis
Lineage: Eukaryota; Metazoa; Chordata; Mammalia; Rodentia; Cricetidae
Exons: 2
Source: RefSeq, a predicted model, not a curated record
CUCGGUGCCGUAGCCGUCCUGGAAGCCGUCCUUCCAGAGCCCGGCGUAGCGCAGGCCGGACACGCUCUCCCACACGCCGCUGCGCCCCUUCAGCCCGCCCAGCCACUCGCCGCGGAUCUGGUCCCUGCUGCCCACCCUCAGCCCCACAUCUUAUUGAAAGAGAACGAAAGCCCAGGAGCGGAAGUCACUCACCAGGGGCCACACAGCAGAGGUGGCAGAGCUAGAAUUGGAACACUAGACUUCAGAUUUUUAUUUUGCUUCAUGCUGGGCAUUGCAUCCUGGAUCUUCAAUAAAGCAUGUGCUCUAUCACUGGACUCAUAGGAGCCCUUCAGUUCCUCCCAGGAGUCUGUGCUCGAGGGCAUCCCCUAAAGUCAAGGGUUACAUUGGGUAAAAUAAAAAGUGUGAAGAUCGGAGUAAAUAGGGA